UGCAGUCGAACGCGUCUCCAUUAAUGAUUUUAGGUGCUUGCAUUUGAAAGAUUUAACAUUGAGACGAGUGGCGAACUGGUGAGUAACACGUGGGUAACCUGCCCUUGAAGUAGGGGAUAACACUUGGAAACAGGUGCUAAUACCGUAUAACAACCAAAACCACCUGGUUUUGGUUUAAAAGACGGCUUCGGCUGUCACUUUAGGAUGGACCCGCGGCGUAUUAGCUUGUUGGUAAGGUAACGGCCUACCAAGGCGAUGAUACGUAGCCGACCUGAGAGGGUAAUCGGCCACAUUGGGACUGAGACACGGCCCAAACUCCUACGGGAGGCAGCAGUAGGGAAUCUUCCACAAUGGACGAAAGUCUGAUGGAGCAACGCCGCGUGAGUGAUGAAGGGUUUCGGCUCGUAAAACUCUGUUGUUGGAGAAGAACAGGUGUCGGAGUAACUGUUGACAUCUUGACGGUAUCCAACCAGAAAGCCACGGCUAACUACGUGCCAGCAGCCGCGGUAAUACGUAGGUGGCAAGCGUUGUCCGGAUUUAUUGGGCGUAAAGCGAGCGCAGGCGGUUUUUUAGGUCUGAUGUGAAAGCCUUCGGCUUAACCGGAGAAGUGCAUCGGAAACCGGGAGACUUGAGUGCAGAAGAGGACAGUGGAACUCCAUGUGUAGCGGUGAAAUGCGUAGAUAUAUGGAAGAGCACCAGUGGCGAAGGCGGCUGUCUGGUCUGUAACUGACGCUGAGGCUCGAAAGCAUGGGUAGCGAACAGGAUUAGAUACCCUGGUAGUCCAUGCCGUAAACGAUGAGUGCUAAGUGUUGGAGGGUUUCCGCCCUUCAGUGCUGCAGCUAACGCAUUAAGCACUCCGCCUGGGGAGUACGACCGCAAGGUUGAAACU
Molecule: ribosomal RNA, 889 nt
Filed under: uncultured bacterium
Lineage: Bacteria
Description: bacterial SSU rRNA
Rfam family: Bacterial small subunit ribosomal RNA
Source: RNAcentral